CCUACGGGUGGCAGCAGUGGGGAAUAUUGCACAAUGGGGGGAACCCUGAUCCAGCCAUGCCGCGUGAGUGAUGAAGGCCCUAGGGUUGUAAAGCUCUUUUGUGCGGGAAGAUAAUGACGGUACCGCAAGAAUAAGCCCCGGCUAACUUCGUGCCAGCAGCCGCGGUAAUACGAAGGGGGCUAGCGUUGCUCGGAAGCAAUGGGCGUAAAGGGUGCGUAGGCGGGUCUUUAAGUCAGGGGUGAAAUCCUGGAGCUCAACUCCAGAACUGCCUUUGAUACUGAGGAUCUUGAGUUCGGGAGAGGUGAGUGGAACUGCGAGUGUAGAGGUGAAAUGCGUAGAUAUUCGCAAGAACACCAGUGGCGAAGGCGGCUCACUGGCCCGAUACUGACGCUGAGGCACGAAAGCGUGGGGAGCAAACAGGAUUAGAUACCCGUGUAGUC
Molecule: ribosomal RNA, 440 nt
Filed under: uncultured Bradyrhizobiaceae bacterium
Lineage: Bacteria; Pseudomonadati; Pseudomonadota; Alphaproteobacteria; Hyphomicrobiales; Nitrobacteraceae
Description: bacterial SSU rRNA
Rfam family: Bacterial small subunit ribosomal RNA
Source: RNAcentral